AUUCAGCUGACAAGCCCCAAAUAGGACGAAGGGCGCGGCCUGAAU
This 45-nucleotide non-coding RNA is filed under the name Schistosoma mattheei. Lineage: Eukaryota; Metazoa; Platyhelminthes; Trematoda; Strigeidida; Schistosomatidae. The record is from RNAcentral.